This 495-nucleotide ribosomal RNA is filed under the name uncultured bacterium. RNAcentral describes it as "partial 16S ribosomal RNA". It matches the Rfam family "Bacterial small subunit ribosomal RNA", at positions 28 to 507 of the family's 1533-position model. The record is from RNAcentral.
GACGAACGCUGGCGGCGUGCUUAACACAUGCAAGUCGAACGGAAAGGCCCUGCUUUUGUGGGGUGCUCGAGUGGCGAACGGGUGAGUAACACGUGGAUAACCUACCUAUAAGACUGGGAUAACUUCAGGAAACCGGAGCUAAUACCGGAUAAUAUAUUGAACCGCAUGGUUCAAUAGUGAAAGAUGGGUUUGCUGGCACUUAUCGAUCGAUUCGCGCCGCAGUAGCUGGUUGGUAAGGUAACGGCUUACUAAGGCGACGAGGCGCAGCCGAACGGGGCGGGGGAUCGGCGACACGGGAGGGGGGACGCGCUCAAGACUCCUACGGGAGGCAGCAGUAGGGAAUCUGACGCAAUGGGCGAAAGCCUGACGGAGCAACGGCGCGUGAGUGAUGAAGGUCUUCGGAUCGUAAAGCUCUGUUAUGAGGGGAGAACAAAUGUGUAAGUAACUAUGCACGUCUUGACGGUACCUAAUCAGAAAGCCACGGCUAACUACGUG